RNAcentral lists this long non-coding RNA (1126 nucleotides) under Brassica napus (rape). RNAcentral's name for it is "long non-coding RNA (BNAP_LNC018758)". The record is from RNAcentral. Lineage: Eukaryota; Viridiplantae; Streptophyta; Magnoliopsida; Brassicales; Brassicaceae.
AUCACUUCAAUACUUAUUAAUAGUAAUGUUAUUUAUAUUUCAAGUUACAAAAUAAAAUGUUAUUUAUAUUUUGUUGUGUGCUAUGGUUGUAUCAUGUUUUUUUCCUUGUUAUGGAAUAAACAAAUGUUAGCGUGAUCGAUGAUAUAUCAUCGAGGUGCUUCUACUUAUUCUUGCUCACCUCUCUCCUUUUCCUCUGUUCUCUCUCUAUGAUCUUUUACAGAGGAAAAGUUGUAGAGAAGGAAUCCAUCUCAUCGCCACGAUGAUUUGAAGAUCUUUUUCUUUUUCUUCUUUUCUUCUUUAAAAUCUUUCACAUGGGAAAUAGGAUGAGAUGAAUCUUCUUGUCCUCGCCGGUGGUGUUCUGAAUUUUGACUCCGGCGUCGCAUCUGUCCCUCCGAUAGUCGUCCGGCCUCUGCCUCCGGUGCUCUCCCUUUCUGUUGGUGAUGAGCAUCCGGCUUCCGACUCCGCAUCACAUCUUUCAAUCGUGAGUGCUCGAGUUGUGUCACGUUUCGUUGUAGUGUAUGGUGGCCUGAGUUUGGAUGAAAUCACGAUUUCAUUUGAUUGACGUUCUUCGAAGCUCAGGCGGUUAAGUGGUGGAUCAUGAAUCUCCUAUACCUCCAAUACAGUCGUUGGAGGUGGUUUUCAGUGGUCGUGGUUAAUUCCCGGUGUUUUUCCGAUGGUCAAGUGAUUUGAAUGGUCCGGUGACGAUUUUAUAUCGUUAACUUCCGGUGAAGGCUCGUGAUUCCGGUGUGAUUCCGGUGGAAGUCCCGGCGGCAGUUUCGGUGAAGUUGGUGGCGUGUCCAGUCCACGCGUCUCCUUUCUGUGUGUUUCGUGUUUCAAGCGGUUGAGAAUGAGUCCUUUUCAUUCUUUUUUUUGGGCUUGUAUAUGUUGUUUGGGUCCCGUCUUUUGGUCUUUUAUGUAUCACAUGUGUCUUUGUUGGUUUUUUUAGGUCUUUAAUAAAAUGAGAAAAAAAAAAUAUAUCGUCGAGGUGCUUCACUACCACGAACUUUCUUAGAAAUUGUGAACAACAUAUCGGGACCGUGCGAUUGAAUUGAUUUAUGUUGGCAAGAACAUAUAAUUGUUUUAUAAUUAAAAACAAGUUUGGUUUCCAAUAUGUUGUUUAGUGUCC